RNAcentral lists this non-coding RNA (56 nucleotides) under bovine gut metagenome. The record is from RNAcentral.
AUUCGUGGAUAGAUUUGUUAUGAUUGCAACCACAGAAAAAAAUGCUAAACCAUUUU